This 215-nucleotide long non-coding RNA is filed under the name Polistes fuscatus (common paper wasp). RNAcentral's name for it is "uncharacterized LOC122518037". The record is from RNAcentral. Lineage: Eukaryota; Metazoa; Arthropoda; Insecta; Hymenoptera; Vespidae.
UGCGAGAUCAAUCGAUCGUGCUCGUAGUUUCUCUGGGCCAAAAGUCGACUGGUGAGGUCGCUCGAUCGAAAAUAGUCGACACUCUCCAAAUUCGAUAGGAACCGUGGACGAAGUCGGAGAUUGCUGAUGGAAUAAUAGAAAAUGAAAAGGUGUUUCCAUUAAAAUACCUCGGUGUAAAAUACUAGACAAUUUUAGAAACAACCACCAACGGCAAA